RNAcentral lists this small RNA (255 nucleotides) under Bos taurus (domestic cattle). Lineage: Eukaryota; Metazoa; Chordata; Mammalia; Artiodactyla; Bovidae. The record is from RNAcentral.
AGAUAGCUUGCAUGUGCCUGAGCAUCCUCACUUGGGAAAGGACAGUGGCCCAGCACUACACUACAGGGCAUACCUCCAGACCCCUUUCAUCACAUGUGUUUCUGUCAGUUACCGCUCAUUCCAGAACCUUCCUUCCUAUUAUAAUAUUUCACAUGAUCGUCCCCCACAUCUCCACCAAUGAUCUGCUGGCAGCACAAGCAAGAUCAGCCCGGGGCUGUCCAGGGCCCCAACCCUCCCGGUCUCACGAAUUCCGCU